Pelobates cultripes (western spadefoot toad) is the source of this 239-nucleotide non-coding RNA. The record is from the annotation of a GenBank genome assembly. Lineage: Eukaryota; Metazoa; Chordata; Amphibia; Anura; Pelobatidae.
CAGUAGAAAAAAAACUGCUAUUGUUGUCAAACUAAUAGAAAUCAAAUGUGAAACCAGGUAUUGUAGAGCUUUUCAGACAGCAGUUGAAAUCUAGAAUUCAAAAGAAUGUUUCUUUUUUUGCGUUGUGAUAUUUCUUCAAGGACAGUUUUUCUUUGUGUAAUAUCAGCACAUUUUAAACAAUACAAACGAAAAGCUAAUGUUUGCUUAGGAAAAAUUGUAACCAAUGAUUUUACUCUAGC